AGAGUUUGAUCAUGGCUCAGGAUGAACGCUGGCGGUAUGCCUAACACAUGCAAGUUGAACGGAAGCUUUCCAAGCUUUAGUAGCGGACGGGUGAGUAACGCGUGAGAAUUUACCUCUAGGAGGGGAACAACAGUUAGAAAUGACUGCUAAUGCCCCAUAUGCUUUAAUAGUGAAAUGGAUUUAUUCGCCUGGAGAGAAGCUCGCGUCUGAUUAGCUAGUUGGUGAGGUAAUGGCUCACCAAGGCGACGAUCAGUAGCUGGUUUGAGAGGAUGAUCAGCCACACUGGGACUGAGACACGGCCCAGACUCCUACGGGAGGCAGCAGUGGGGAAUUUUCCGCAAUGGGCGAAAGCCUGACGGAGCAACGCCGCGUGAGGGACGAAGGCCUCUGGGCUGUAAACCUCUUUUCUCAAGGAAGAAGAUAUGACGGUACUUGAGGAAUAAGCCACGGCUAAUUCCGUGCCAGCAGCCGCGGUAAUACGGGAGUGGCAAGCGUUAUCCGGAAUUAUUGGGCGUAAAGCGUCCGCAGGCGGCUUUUCAAGUCUGCUGUUAAAGCGUGGAGCUUAACUCCAUCAUGGCAGUGGAAACUGAAAGGCUUGAGUAUGGUAGGGGCAGAGGGAAUUCCCGGUGUAGCGGUGAAAUGCGUAGAUAUCGGGAAGAACACCAGUGGCGAAGGCGCUCUGCUGGGCCAUUACUGACGCUCAUGGACGAAAGCCAGGGGAGCGAAAGGGAUUAGAUACCCCUGUAGUCCUGGCCGUAAACGAUGAACACUAGGUGUCGGGGGAAUCGACCCCUUCGGUGUCGUAGCUAACGCGUUAAGUGUUCCGCCUGGGGAGUACGCACGCAAGUGUGAAACUCAAAGGAAUUGACGGGGGCCCGCACAAGCGGUGGAGUAUGUGGUUUAAUUCGAUGCAACGCGAAGAACCUUACCAGGGUUUGACAUCCUGCGAACCUCUUAGAAAUUUGAGGGUGCCUUCGGGAAUGCAGUGACAGGUGGUGCAUGGCUGUCGUCAGCUCGUGUCGUGAGAUGUUGGGUUAAGUCCCGCAACGAGCGCAACCCUUGUUUUUAGUUAUUUUUCUAGAAAGACUGCCGGUUAUAAGCCGGAGGAAGGCGGGGACGACGUCAAGUCAGCAUGCCCCUUACACCCUGGGCUACACACGUGCUACAUUGGGUAAGACAAUGAGUCGCGAGCCUGUGAAGGUCAGCAAAUCUAUAAACUUACUCUAAGUUCGGAUUGUAGGCUGUAACUCGCCUACAUGAAGUUGGAAUCGCUAGUAAUCGCUGGUCAGCCAUACAGCGGUGAAUCCGUUCCCGGGCCUUGUACACACCGCCCGUCACACCAUGGGAGCUGGUUAUACCCGAAGUCGUUACUCCAACCCUUGUGGAGGAGGACGCCGAAGGUGGGGCUAAUGACUGGGGUGAAGUCAUAACAAGGUAGCCGUA
This 1443-nucleotide ribosomal RNA is filed under the name uncultured bacterium. Its description in RNAcentral is "16S ribosomal RNA". It matches the Rfam family "Bacterial small subunit ribosomal RNA". The record is from RNAcentral.